AUGGCCGCCUAUAGUUACCAACUCAAUCUAGCAAAUAUUAUUAUUAAUUCUAUCUUGAUUGUUAAUCACAUUAUUUUCAAAAAAAAAUUGUUUUCAUUCUUUUUCAAGAUUGUUUGGGCCAUAAAAUAAGUCGAAACUCAGCAUUUACUACAUAUACAACAACUAUCAUCUUGACCUUGAGGUUGCUUUGGGAUGAAAUACAGUUGAUGUGAAGCCAAACUGAUGGAUAUCUGUUGGAGGUGGAUCCGGGGGAGAGUGCUGUGACUGGUGCUGCUCGACUUGGACUUCAAGGAGGCCUGGGGUUGUUGUGCACAUACUCCAUCCAGGAUUACUGCAUAAGAGGUGUUGGAGGGGUGGCGCACAGAGAUGAAGUGGCCGGCACAUCCUGUAGCUCUAUCUGGGUGGACGAAUGCUGUUUCAAAUUCUCUGAACUGAAUCCGACUGAGCUCACACUGCUGGGAUCUCGAUCUCACGGAUUUCCUACUCCAUAAUCAUCAUGGCUAGGAGUAGUCAGUGGGACUGACGCAUUGGGCAUCACAGCAUCUCUGGCAACGGGCUCCAAAUUAUGUAUGUCCGGAUAGGAGAUGAACGAGUUCGGGUUGGUGUCAUCCAUGGUGAACUUGUGAAGAUAAUACAAUGUGCACGGAGAAAUUGAUUCAAUUGUAGUGUAUGAAAUUGUUGAUCAGAACAAGUGCGAAUUGGAAUAAGUGAUUGUGACAAGUGAACAAAAAUUACAGUUGCAGAUGUUUGAACGAAUACAGGUAUGAGAAUAGACAUUUAUCAUUAACAUAGAAUCUAGCACAAUUACUAACACUAAUAGAAGGAAUGACCUUUGAAUUGAUCUUUAUGAUAAUUACUCUCAAGCCCUAGAAACAUACCUAGAUGAGGUAUCUUCAAGUUCGCCCUUUCCCUCAAAUUUUAUUAAAUGGCUGACUUUUAUUAUUGAAUGAUUGUGUGUGACAUAUUUUUUAUUGAUUCUUGAUUGUUCAAGAUAAUACUUUCGACUCAUGGAGGUUAUAAUAACACAGUUUAUAACCGGGGUUGGAAAAUUUUACAAUAGUAAAGUUCCCAAAAAUUUUCCCUAUCUUUGUUGCUGUAAUAUACAGAACAACAAUAUCUCUGCAAUCAAUCAGUGGCCUCUUCAAAGCUCUGAGCUGGGCGCCAUGUGUGACAGGCCUAGCUCCAGGGAGGGCAUGGACCACACAAAAAAUAGAUGAAUUUAUGGAAGUGCUCACUUUUAUGGGUACAUGAAUAUAUGCCCCUCUGUGUAAUAUCAGACCUGAGAAUUUAUUUAAUUGGUUGAGAAAUUUGUAGUUUAUCCCAGAUGUAGGA
Molecule: long non-coding RNA, 1332 nt
Filed under: Nilaparvata lugens (brown planthopper)
Lineage: Eukaryota; Metazoa; Arthropoda; Insecta; Hemiptera; Delphacidae
Description: uncharacterized LOC120353162, transcript variant X1
Source: RNAcentral